This 1538-nucleotide long non-coding RNA is filed under the name Cyanistes caeruleus (blue tit). Its description in RNAcentral is "lncRNA (ENSCCEG00000013994.1)". Lineage: Eukaryota; Metazoa; Chordata; Aves; Passeriformes; Paridae. The record is from RNAcentral.
AUGAAUGCUUUCACCAUUGCUCUAGGGAAGGGGUUUCACCUGGAGCCCGCGAAGCUCCCGCCCAGCCCGCGGAGGAUGCACAGGGGACAGAGGGGAGAGGCGCAGAGCAGAGCGGGGCUGGCUCGGCUCCCCGGAGCGGCAGAGGCGCAGCCCGGUCUGACAUCGCCCGGCUCCCUUUUUCCUGCAACUACGUCCGCAAAUGAAUGCCGCCUCCAGAGUGUAUGUUUUAAUUUGUCACAUCAAGGCAAUAAAAGGGAGCGAUAUAUACUUAAGCCAGUUAACAUUGUAAUAACAGGUUUAAAGGAGCAAUUAAAUGGUAGUGAGUCGCAUGUCUGACUUUCUAUAGGCAUUACCACAUCAAUGGUACCUUUUAGGCUGACUAUAACUUAGCAUGAUUGUCUCAAUUAGUUUAGCUACAUGAUAGUUAUUGUGAACUCUUUGUGAGUAAUCAAUGUUACGCAAGCUUAUGGGAAGGAGGCUUUAAUAGGGGUGAGCAGCAGCUAAAUCACACGAACCUCCUUUUUUAUGGAAACACCUUUCUCUCUCUGUGUCUGUUUCUAGCUCUCUCUCCCUCUCCUCUUUAUUUCUUUCCUCCAAGCCCCAAGAAAGAAAGGGUAAUUUAUAGACUUAUAAAUCUGUUUCCGAGGUCGGUGUAGCUGAACGUAGAUUUACAGGCAAAAAGCAGCUUCUGCCGCGGUUGAUCAACGAAAGAGCCCAGCGCGGAUGGCGAGGCGCCCCCGCUCCGCCUCUCCUCGGCUUUAGCGGUGCAUGUCGUGGCUGUUCACUGUCACGAUUAAGCCCCGAGCCACAAAUAACCUUGAGGGAUGCUCACGUAUGAGAUGAUACGUGUGUGCAGAAGUCCUAGGGGCGCCUGAGCUUCCCCUUGCUGCCACGGGAGCGGGUCCGAGGGAGCGCUGCGGGGACAGACACGCGUGUGCGUGCGGAACAGGAGCGGCUGCUCGCCUGUGUGGGUGUUAAGGCGAGGGGCGGAGGGAGGAAGGACUGCAAAGCUGGCUUAGAAAUACGAUUUAAUGCACAGAGAAGGGUCCUGCCGGAGCCACGGGCCGCUUGGUAACUUCUUAAUUCUCCACUUACGGAUUCUCUUGCUAAAUACUGAGCUGCGGGUGGCUAACGCAAAAUACAGAGGGCUGGAAAUUGAGUGGGAGAUGCUUGAAUUGCUUCAAAACACUAACAAGUAUGUACUGUUUUCUGUCACGGGGAAAAAAAAAAAGAGCGAGGGACCGUGUGCAGUUGAAAUUUAAGAUAAACAAAAUGCAGGGAUAUUUCUGCUGGUGAAGUUAUUCUCAUUAGUCCUAACAAUGACUCGCUAUUAGACAAGGCUGGAGUCAGCCUCAGUCGCAAGAUUUCAGAUCUGCAAGCUUUUUUUCUUUUUUUUUUUUUUUACAUGCACAUUACAUUUCUGUCAUGCUUUGCACAAGAACACGAUAUCCCCAAAGAACCCAAAGAAGAAAAAAAAUACUCUGACAGCAACCAUUAGUUAAGAGUGCAAUGAAUAAACCCCUUGCACAAGAGUAUCA